CGGGGUGCAGCAGGCGCGAAAACUUUACAAUGCUGGCAACAGCGAUAAGGGGACCUCGAGUGCCAGGAUACAAUCUUGGCUGUCGUGAUGCCUAAAAAGCAUUACAUAGCAAGGGCCGGGCAAGACCGGUGCCAGCCGCCGCGGUAACACCGGCGGCUCGAGUGGUAACCGCUAUUAUUGGGUCUAAGGGGUCUGUAGCCGGCCGGAUAAGUCUCUUGGGAAAUCCAGCAGCUCAACUGUUGGGCUUCCAGGGGAUACUGUUCGGCUCGAGGCCGGGAGAGGUGAGAGGUACUUCAGGGGUAGGGGUGAAAUCUUGUAAUCCUUGAAGGACCACCAGUGGCGAAGGCGUCUCACCAGAACGGUCCUGACGGCAAGGGACGAAAGCUAGGGGCACGAACCGGAUUAGAUACCCGGGUAGUCCUAGCCGUAAACGAUACUCGCUAGGUGUCAGCCACGGUGCGACCGUGGUUGGUGCCGUAGGGAAGCCGUGAAGCGAGCCACCUGGGAAGUACGGCCGCAAGGCUGAAACUUAAAGGAAUUGGCGGGGGAGCA
Molecule: ribosomal RNA, 552 nt
Filed under: uncultured archaeon
Lineage: Archaea
Description: bacterial SSU rRNA
Rfam family: Archaeal small subunit ribosomal RNA
Source: RNAcentral